Molecule: small nucleolar RNA, 114 nt
Organism: Pteronotus mesoamericanus
Lineage: Eukaryota; Metazoa; Chordata; Mammalia; Chiroptera; Mormoopidae
Product: small nucleolar RNA SNORD22
Exons: 1
Source: RefSeq, a predicted model, not a curated record
UCUCAGUGAUGAAACAUUCACAUGUCUUACUUCCUAGUCUACUCCCAGAGCCUGUAAAAGUGUACCCCCUGGGGCUGGCUGAGGGAGAAGAGGAGAAGGAACUGUCUUAGGGAU